This is a long non-coding RNA of Octopus sinensis (East Asian common octopus), 5697 nucleotides long. RefSeq lists it as uncharacterized. The transcript is spliced from 2 exons. The record is from RefSeq and is a predicted model, not a curated record. Lineage: Eukaryota; Metazoa; Mollusca; Cephalopoda; Octopoda; Octopodidae.
AUAUAAGUACAUACAUAUAGAUAUGUGUAUGUGUGUAUAUAUAUAUAUACACACAUACACAUAUGUAAAAGUGUAUAUAUAGUCAUACACAGACUCCAUAAAGAGACAGUAUAAUAGCGAAACAAGAUUCUUGCGUUAAUGUUGUGUGCCUCAUUUCAGUUUAUUUUAACAUUUGUACAUAUUUUAGUCAUAUAUAUGUAUGUGUGUGUACAUAUAUAUGUGUGUAUAUAUAUAUAUAUGUAUAUAUAUAUAUAUAUACACACACACACGCAUACAUAUAUAGGUAAAUGCACAUUGUUGUGUAGAGUAUCAAAUACUUCCCAUUAAGAUAGCUACAUAGAAUAAAUGUGACGUUGCUUAAAGAAAAUUAGUUAAAAUUUUAAUUGCAAAUCUUAAUAGUUAAAUAAUGUUAGCCUUUUAAUGUAUAUAUAUUAUAUAUGUCCAGAAUAUGAAUUAUGAAUUUUUAAUAAUUGUAAAAAAAAAAAGUAAAAAUAAAAAAUACAAAAAUAAAUAAAUAAAACCUACCAGCAAAAAUUAAAAAAAUACAUCAAACACCCCUUUGACAUCACAACCUUGACUAUGUGUGCUAUUACCUCUCUGUUUCCCUCUCUCUCUCUCUCUCUUCUCUCUCUCUCUCCCAUUCACAAUCUGUCUGGCAGUGAUCCAGAAGCAAAAUAAACUAUUGUGGUGUAUAUUGUCGUAUGACUUACAUGAAAUUUGAGCAAUGUUCUGAAUCUCCUCAGUACCUGUUUCAGCAACUUGUUUACAUCCACCCACUUUACCAUAACCCACAGCAUCAUCACUUUCUCUAUCUUCAUGGGUCUCAAACAAAAGAGGAGUCCAAAAUGUUUAAAAAAUCUCCACUCCCCACAGCACCUUAACAUAAUGAAUUCUACAAACUCUACAAUGACAUUAGUAUAUGUUUAUAUAUAUAUACAAGUAUAAUGAUAAAACCAAAUAUUGAUAUUUUGAUAUUUUGAAAGCAUUUAAUACACAUGUCUCCAGUAGUUAUGCAAGAUAAUUCUUACAUAAUAUCUUCCUUUGUCAAUUUGAGUGAGGAUAGUACUAUUAAGUAAGAAUUAUCUUGCAUAAUUACUGCAAAGAUAUAUAAUGUGAGCUGCUGCUGGCUAAGGCAGUGAAACUCAAAUAAAUAAACUUUGCAGUCUAUUUAAAUAAUAAAACACCUUGCACAAAAUAACAACGGCUCAGGGAAGUCCAUACCUUGCCAUGAUGGGAAAUAAUAGCUACUGGCUUAAUCAUGGUGCUGAUAUUUUAAAGAGGCUGACACUCUUUGUAGAGAUUUAUAAAAUCUACUGCAGAAACUUAUAAGAGAGAGGCUUAUGACACUCAUAAAGACUUAAGACAUCCACUGUGAUGACUUAAGACAUCCACUGUGGAAACUUAUGAUAUCCAUCGUGGAGAUUUGUGACAUCCUCAGUGGAGACUUACGACAUUCAGUGUGGUACUUAUGAUAUCCACUGCAGAUAUUUAUCACAUCCCUCCACUGUAAACACUUAUGAUAUUCACUGUAGUAAGACUUAUGAUGUCAGCUUCUGAGAAAAGUUAUAAUAACUAUGUAGAGCCUUCAGAGAUCAAUUGUAAAUUUGUUUUAUCUUCUUUCUCUCUUUCAUUCUUUGUCUUUCGUUUCUGUCAUCCUCCACCUCUUUUUUUAUUUCACACUAAAAUCAAAGUUGAUUUUUAAAAUUUUAAUUAAUCAUUGCAAAAAAACAUACACAUACACGCACACUUUUUAUUGCAUACAUACUUUUAAAAUAAUGUUUCAGGUUUUAAUAUUUUAUAAAUGCAAUGAUAAAAUAAAAUAGAUUCUAAAAAUAAUGCUAUAGGUUUUAAUACUUACUAAACACAAUAAAAUAAAACAUAUCUUAAAAAUAAUGUCUUAGGUUUUAAUUUACUAAACAUAAUGAUAAAAUAAAAUAAUUCUGAAAUAAUGUUAUAGGUUUUAAUUUUUAUUAAACAUAAUAAAACUUACAUGUUUCUAAAAUAAUGCUGUAGGUUUUAAUUUUUACUAAACUCAAUGAUAAAACAAAAAAAAGAAGGCUUUUAAAAUAAUGCUAUUGGUUAUAAUUUUUAUUAAACACAAUAACAAAACCUAUUUCUAAAAUAAUGCUAUAGGUUAUAAUUUACUAAGUUUUUUUUAAGUAUUAUUUUUAUUUUUUUGUUAAUACUAAACUGUUUUUUUUCCUAACUCUGAUGUUUUUCUUAAAAGAAAUUUACUUUUAAAAUCAAUAGAGAAAAUUUGCUUUUCCUACUGAUAUAUACAUGUGUGUGCAUACAUAUAUAUAUAGUAUUUUCCAUUGGCAACAAAUGCCCUGGCAAAAAUUACACAAAUCUAUUAAUUGCCAACAAGUUCAAGUAAUGGUCAUACAUUGAAAGCUUUAGAGAAAUUCUCUAAUUUUAGUCUUGCUAUUAAGCUUUUCCAAAAAGUGAUAAUCCUAUUUAGGAUAUUAAUAAUUUUAUAAAUAGCUUUUAUGCCUUAUUUUGCAUGUGCAUGCUAUAAUAGAUAACAUUUUUAAAAACUAAUAAAAAAAAUAUGGAUAAUAUUUGCUACUAAAGAGUAUUUUUUAUAGAAAUACUGCAUGAAAACCACUAACCCAUAACACAAAAUUGCUCACAUUGAAAGCUUUUACUAAAAAAUAAUAUUAAUAUACUUUGUUUUAAAAGAAAUUAUUCAUCAAUUAGCCUCUUUUUCUUUUUUUUUUUUUUCUUCCUUUAGAUUGUAUAAAACUUGUUUUGAUUCAAAUAUUAAGGUCUUGACGAAUUGGUUAAGAUGUAUGUAUGUUUAAAAGGGAGAAAGUAAGUCUGGGCUAUUGUUUGAAAAUUCUGAAAACUUUACUGACAUAAAAAAAUAGUCUGAGUCUUUAGUAAAGUUGUGGCAAAGCUUGGCAAUAUUUUUCUACAGGGAGAGAAAAUGAAUUUUUAUCUCCAAAUAAUGGGAAAAGAAGGAGUGACUUAAAUUAAAUUGUUCUGGUCUCAUUGCUAUUAGAUUGGAGUUAAAAAUUAGUGUGCUCUUAUUCCUGUCAGAUCUGAGUUUCAAAAUUGUCAUAGUUUUAUUGGUACCAAAUCUUGAGUUUAUAAUUAUUAUGGUAUUAUUAUGGUCUUACUAGUGUUAGAUCUGAGUAAUUAAUUGUCCUGCUGGUCUUAUUGAUGAUAUGAGAUCUGAGUUUUAAAAAAAAAAGUUAUCAUGGUCUUAUUGAAAUCAAUCAAAAUAUGUUGCUAUCCUUGAUACGGCUGAUCGCUAUUGCAUUCUGUAAUGUCAUAUUUUAUGAACAAAGACAUCACACUACGUUAUUAAUCUGAAUACCUAGGUGGGCAAACCGGUAAUGAAUGCUUGUGGAUAGAAAGCACAGGUGCAAGAAAUGGCACCGAAAGAUACAUAUAUAUAUUUAUCUGAAUCUGCAGAUUUUGUCUGAUCUAUAUCACCAAGGUGGGAAAAUGGACAGAAGAAAAAUGAUGUUUGUAGCUGCCGGUGUUGCUGCUGCUACUGCUACUUAUACUACAACUAUGACAGUUUCUAUUGCCAUUGCUGUUGUUCAUUUGUCCAUUUCAUCACUUCAAAUCACAUCAAACACCACAGCUUCAUUUCAUUUUUUUUUUUUUUUUUUUUUUUUUCAAAAACCAGACUUUGAAAAAAAAAAAAAACUUUAUUCAUUAAUGUAUGAUUUAAUCACUGUCAUUAUCAGAUUCACUACCGCUGCUACUACAACCAUCUUAAAACAAUUACCAUCAUUGAUAUCAUUCUCAUUGUCACCUUCACGAACGUCGUCUGCUCUUUAAAGGGAGAAAUAAAUUGUUAGUGUUUUGCUCUGAGGAUUACAAAUAAAGCAAAAGAAAAAAAAAACAGAAAGAAAAAGAAAAAAGGAAAGAGAAUACUGUGCCUGGACCCUGUACAUAUUUGGGGUUUUUAGUUUUUUUUUGUUUUUUUUUUGCCUGACCCCUUUUUCUUCAAAACUUUGUUUGUUACCAACAAACUACUUUUUAUACUGGGCUUUGAUUUUGAUAGAUCCCAAUAUUUGAAAGUCUAGUUCAUUGUCAUUAACUGUAGCACUUGGUAGUAUAUGAAAGUUUUUACUAUUCUUGUUGAUAUUAUUGAUAAUUAUAACAACUACCACUACCACCACUAUCACUUAUACUAGUUUGGCUAAUUUAUAGACUUUAAAUUUGAUUCUUUAUUGAAGGUAACCUUUUUUUUAAUACUAUUAAUAAGAUGACUAAUGAGAUAAUAUUCCAUCUUUAGAGAGUGUAUAUUUACAUCUGUACUGUUUCAAUUAGUUUGAUCUUCCUUCAUUAUGUGUCUUUUCUCUCAAUGCCUACACGGUACCCCAGACUGGAUAUCUACAUGGUACCCCAGACUGGAUGCCUCUAUGGUACUCCAGAACUGGAUACCUACAUCGUACCCCCUGAUUGGAUACCUACAUGGUACCCCUGAUUGGAUACCUACAUGGUACCCCAGACUGAAUACAGACAUGGUACCCCAGACUGGAUACCUACAUGGUACCCCUGAUUGGAUGCCUACAUGGUACCCCAGACUGGAUGCCUACAUGGUACCCUAGACUGGAUACCUACAUGGUACCCCUGAUUGGAUGCCUACAUGGUACCCCAGACUGGAUGCCUACAUGGUACCCCAGACUGAAUGCCUACAUGGUACCCCAGACUGGAUGCCUACAUGGUACCUCAGACUGAGUUCAGACUUCAGCAUCUUUAUUUCUAAACUAUGAAGAAUUGUCCAGAAAAUUCUAAUUUACUAACAAAAUCUUGUCUUUGUCUUCAACAAAUUACAAAUCAGUCAAGAACUGGCAGUCAGUAAAUUAAAUUAAAUUAAAUCAAAUUAAUACAGUUAGUCCCCUCCCCUCCUCUUUUCUCUUUGAUAAUUUAAUUUUUUUUGGCAAAUAAAUAAAUAAAUAGAUAAAUAAUAAUAAUUUCUGGUUUUAGAAACAGUUUGGUAAAAGUUCUGCUGAGUCACCUGAAAAUAGAUACGAGACAUUUAAUUAAAAUUAAUCUCUUGUUAUCUCGUAUUUGAUCUAUAAAGUAUUUUUAUGUGAUCAUUGUAAAUGCCUGGCUAUGGCUAUGUCCCAGCACUGCCUUAGCUCACUGGUAGAAACUUAAUAAAGACGGCAGUAGCUAACAUAUAACGGUUGGCUUUGAUAACCAUAUCAUAUUUAUCAUUAGCGAAAGAUGUGGCCUAGUAGUUUGGGUAUGGUUCCUCGUGAUCACACAAUCAAGGUUUCAAUUCUCAGACUGGUGAUGCAUUGUGUUCUUUGAGCAAAACACUUCAUUUCACAUUGCUCCAGUCCACUCAGUUGUAAAUGAGUAACUCUGCAAUGAAGGGUGUUCUGUCCAGGAGGAGUGUUGACCUACCUGCCUGCCAGCUUACCUAGCCAGUACUGUGAUCAAUAUAAUGAACUACAAACUCUUAAAGAUAGUGUUCCAGUUCGGCUGCAGUUCAAUGACCAAAACUAGAGUGAGCCAAGAGAUAAAUCUUUUAAGAACAAUUUAAUAUCCUUUCCCUAACGCUAAAAAUUCCAUUGUCUCAAUUUAUUUGCUGUUUUUCAUUAGACAAUUCUAUUGGUUUCGACCGCUAAUAAUAAUAAUAAUAAUAAUGAUGAUUAUUAAAAUAAUAAUAAUAAUAACAAUAAUUAAAAUAAUAAUAAUAAUAAUAAUAACAAUGAUUAAAAUAAU